Long non-coding RNA from Equus caballus (horse), 1713 nucleotides. The record is from Ensembl. Lineage: Eukaryota; Metazoa; Chordata; Mammalia; Perissodactyla; Equidae.
UCAGUGUCUUCCCCAGUUGCAGCAAUAGCCUGGGCAAAGGUCCUGCUCAGGUUGUAGGCCUUAAAAGCUGUUAUGAAUCCUUGAUUCUUUGGUUAGAUCAAAAAGGUGGUGUUUGGAGGGAGAAACACUGCCUCGAUAUUGGGAUGAAGAUCAUAAACAAAAGGAGGAUGUCUGGGAGCAUUAUGAACAGCAAGCAAAAUAUUGAAAGUUGGUCCCAUCAUUCACCAUGAAGGGACGUGAAACUGUAAUUCCAAUCUUAGACACAGCAUGGCUGAUGAGCAGUGCAUAGGUCCACGCCCAGGAUCCAAACCUGCAAACCCUGGGCUGCCAAAGAGGAACCCGUGAACUUAGCCACUACAUCACCAGGCUGGCCUUUCAAAGAAAUGGAAAUUCCUGUCAAAUUCGAAGGGGCCUCACACAGCCAAAACAAUAUUGAAAAAGAAGAACAAAUUUAGAGGACUCACAUUUCUCAAUUUCGAAACUUAUUAGAGAGCUACAGUAUUCAAAACAGUGUGGUACAGGAAUAAAGAUAGAUAUGUAGAUCUAUGGAAUAGAAAUGAAUUCAAGCAUAUGGACAAGUGAGUCUUCACAAAUGUGCCCAGGAUCAUUCAGUGGGGAAAGUAUGGCCUUUUCAACAAAUGUUGCUUCAAACUGAAUGUCCACAUGCAAAAGAAUGAAGUUAGACUCUUCUCUCACAUUAUAUAGAAAAAUUAACUCAACGCAGCCAAAGACUUAAGUAUGAAAGCUAAAUCCAUAAAACUGUUAAAAGAAAUCAUAGGAGUAAAUCUUCAUGACCUUGCAUUUGGAAAUGAAAUGUCCAGAAUAGAUAAAUGAUGAGUAGUACAGCACAUUUUGGGGGAGUAAUGAAAAUGUUUUGCAACUUUAUAGAGGUAGUGAUUGCACAACAUUGUGAAUGUACUAAAUGCCAAUGAAUUGUACACUUUAAAGUGAUUAAUUUCUUUAUGUGGAUUUCACCUCAAUGAAAAAUAAAAAGCAUAUAAAUAACAGAGCCUGGUGCUCACAAAGGGCUGAGAAUAGUGCCUGUUCCCAUGAGCCAGACUGGAAAACCUCAAGAUUCACAAGGCAUUAGAAUUUACAGAAAGGUGUUGUCUCAGGAGGGGAAAUAAUUAACCUCAUACUGAGUAAAACUUCUGUUUUGCUACCCAACAAAGCAAGACUCAAAUGGAUAAAAUGUUUUCCGAGGAAUUUAAUUGUAGUAAGGAAUAAAGCUCAAGAAUACUUAUAGGAGAACAAAUAUAUAUAGUACACAACAAACAUAAAAUUAAUAAUGUCCAGAAUCCAGUGAAAAAUUACAAGGCAUGCAAAGAAAACAUGACCCUCGAUGAGGAGAAAAAUAAAUUAAUCAUCAACCUAGACCAGCCAGAUGUUAGCAUUAGCAGAUAGAAUUAAAAGUUAUUAUUAUGGCAGAAUUAAAAACUGUAACAGUAUAUCAUAUGAUGAGAGUUAAGCAGAGAUAUGGAGGAUAUAAGACAAUAUCCAAAUUGAACUCCUAGAGACAAAAAAUAUAAUGUCUGAGAUGAAAAUACACUAGAUGGGAUUAAUGGAAAAUUAAACAUUGCAGAGGAAGAUAUUAGUGAAUUGAAGAUAUAGCAACACAAACUAUACAAAGACACAUUGAGAAAAGAAAGUUUUUAAAAAAUGAACAAAGUAUCAAUGAAUUGUGGGACAAUUAUAGAUGGCCUAAUAUAUGUG